GAUACAUUUGCUUUCUUUUUAUUAUCUACAUAUUUUCAAAAUAAAAUUCAAACACACUCGUGUAAAAAUUUAAUCAUCAUCUCAUAAACGGAGAAGUAAGUUUCUUCUUUCCAUUUGGUGCUUUUUUUAAUUCUCUGUGCCUUUGGUUCCAUUGUCUCUCCAAUAACUUCCAAAUAGAUUUUGUGCAGCCGUCCAGUGCGUUGCUAAGCAUAUACAGUGUAAGUAGGCUUGUUUGUUUCAAUUUCAAACAAUGCUGAGAAUUAGAUAUAGUUAUCUAUAUAUAAUCUUUAUCUGUAUAUUCUAAAAUGUAUAUAUAGAUUAUCUUAUAUAUACACAUAUUU
RNAcentral lists this long non-coding RNA (341 nucleotides) under Bos taurus (domestic cattle). Its description in RNAcentral is "long non-coding RNA NONBTAT023416". Lineage: Eukaryota; Metazoa; Chordata; Mammalia; Artiodactyla; Bovidae. The record is from RNAcentral.